RNAcentral lists this ribosomal RNA (406 nucleotides) under uncultured bacterium. Its description in RNAcentral is "partial 16S ribosomal RNA". It matches the Rfam family "Bacterial small subunit ribosomal RNA", at positions 30 to 526 of the family's 1533-position model. The record is from RNAcentral.
AUUGAACGCUGGCGGCAGGCCUAACACAUGCAAGUCGAACGAGUGGCGGACGGGUGAGUAAUGUCUGGGAAACUGCCCGAUGGAGGGGGAUAACUACUGGAACCGGUAGCUAAUACCGCAUACCAUCGGAUGUGCCCAGAUGGGAUUAGAGAGUAGGGGGGGUAACGGCUCACCUAGGCGCCGAUCCCUAGCUGGUCUGCGAGGAUGACCAGCCACACUGGAAAUGAGAAACGGUCCAGACUCCUACGUGAGGCAGCAGUGGGGAAUAUUGCACAAUGGGCGCAAGCCUGAUGCAGCCAUGCCGCGUGUAUGAAGAAGGCCGUCGGGUUGUAAAGUACUUUCAGCGAGGAGGCGUUACUCGCAGAAGAAGCACCGGCUAACUCCGUGCCAGCAGCCGCGGUAAUAC